UACAGGGGGUGCAAACGUUGCUCGGAAUUAUUGGGCGUAAAGCGCGCGUAGGCGGCCACUUAAGUCGGAUGUGAAAGCCCCUGGCUCAACUGGGGAAGUGCACCCGAAACUGAAUGGCUUGAAUGCAAAAGAGGGUCGCGGAAUUCCCGGUGUAGAGGUGAAAUUCGUAGAUAUCGGGAGGAACACCGGUGGGCGAAGGCGGCGACCUGGGUUGACAUUGACGCUGAGGCGCGAAAGCGUGGGGAGCAAACAGG
Molecule: ribosomal RNA, 254 nt
Filed under: uncultured bacterium
Lineage: Bacteria
Description: partial 16S ribosomal RNA
Rfam family: Bacterial small subunit ribosomal RNA
Source: RNAcentral